Molecule: ribosomal RNA, 668 nt
Filed under: Planomicrobium sp. enrichment culture clone LT5
Lineage: Bacteria; Bacillati; Bacillota; Bacilli; Caryophanales; Caryophanaceae
Description: bacterial SSU rRNA
Rfam family: Bacterial small subunit ribosomal RNA
Source: RNAcentral
AACAGGAUUUAGAUACCUGGUAGUCCACGCCGUAAACGAUGAGUGCUAAGUGUUAGGGGGUUUCCGCCCCUUAGUGCUGCAGUAACGCAUUAAGCACUCCGCCUGGGGAGUACGGCCGCAAGGCUGAAACUCAAAGGAAUUGACGGGGGCCCGCACAAGCGGUGGAGCAUGUGGUUUAAUUCGAAGCAACGCGAAGAACCUUACCAGGUCUUGACAUCCCGCUGACCGCCUAGGAGACUAGGCUUUCCCUUCGGGGACAGCGGUGACAGGUGGUGCAUGGUUGUCGUCAGCUCGUGUCGUGAGAUGUUGGGUUAAGUCCCGCAACGAGCGCAACCCUUGAUUUAGUUGCCAGCAUUCAGUUGGGCACUCUAAGGUGACUGCCGGUGACAAACCGGAGGAAGGUGGGGAUGACGUCAAAUCAUCAUGCCCCUUAUGACCUGGGCUACACACGUGCUCAAUGGACGGUACAAAGGGCUGCAAACCCGCGAGGGGGAGCCAAUCCCAGAAAACCGUUCUCAGUUCGGAUUGCAGGCUGCAACUCGCCUGCAUGAAGCCGGAAUCGCUAGUAAUCGUGGAUCACAUGCCACGGUGAAUACGUUCCCGGGCCUUGUACACACCGCCGUCACACCACGAGAGUUUGUAACACCCGAAGUCGGUGAGGUAACCAC